This 485-nucleotide ribosomal RNA is filed under the name uncultured bacterium. RNAcentral describes it as "bacterial SSU rRNA". It matches the Rfam family "Bacterial small subunit ribosomal RNA", at positions 30 to 507 of the family's 1533-position model. The record is from RNAcentral.
AUUGAACGCUGGCGGCAUGCCUUACACAUGCAAGUCGAAGGUAACAGGGAGCUUGCUCCGCUGACGAGUGGCGAACGGGUGAGUAAUGUAUCGGAACGUACCAUAGAGUGGGGGAUAACUAUCCGAAAGGAUAGCUAAUACCGCAUAUUCUCUCCGGAGGAAAGCAGGGGGACCGCAAGGCCUUGCGCUCUUUGAGCGGCCGAUAUCAGAUUAGCUAGUUGGUGAGGUAAAGGCUCACCAAGGCGACGAUCUGUAGCGGGUCUGAGAGGAUGAUCCGCCACACUGGGACUGAGACACGGCCCAGACUCCUACGGGAGGCAGCAGUGGGGAAUUUUGGACAAUGGGAGAAACCCUGAUCCAGCCAUGCCGCGUGCAGGAUGAAGGCCUUCGGGUUGUAAACUGCUUUUGUACGGAACGAAAAAGGUCCUUUCUAAUAAAGAGGGCUCAUGACGGUACCGUAAGAAUAAGCACCGGCUAACUACGUG